UUCAAUGUUAGUAUUUGAUUGUAACCUAAGGAAACUUGAUACGAAUUCCUGAAUAGUUAAAAUGAACGCAUGCAAAAUUUAAACGUGAGCGUAACAUACAGAAGUGACUAAUAUGAACACAGGACUAAGAAAAGGUGUUUUUCGGUUUUAAACAAAGUAAAUAGGUUUCGUUUGCAUAAUAUGAUGGAUGAUCCGCUUUGCCUCAUGAACAUCAUCAGGGUUAUUGCAUCGUGGGUGCUGAUUGCGUCACCGCGACGAACAUAUAUCCGAAGACCUUAAACAAGUUAAUUCCAAAGACAGGGCGUUUAUACGCUAUGAAAUAUACACACUUUGUUACAGUAUGUGAUCUGAACUUGCCAAAUAUCAACCGGGAUGAUACGUCUACAGACAGGGGACCAGGUGACUUCAGUUAUGAUUUUGUGGAGUGUGUCAGAGACAGCUUCUGGUAUCAACACGUACAUGAGCCAACGCGUGGAAGGGGAGACGCAGAUUCAUCACUUCUAGACGUUGUAUUCAGCAAUGAGGAAGGAAUGAUAAACAGUGUAAGCAUUGAAAACCCGCUAGGGAAUAGUGACCACUCUGUUAUAAUAUUUAACUUCAGCGGUUAUUCUGAAAAUCAUCAUGCAAAAGAGAGACUUAACUUUGGAAAAGCCGAUUUUGAUGGAAUGAAAGAGACACAUAGCAUAGAUUGGGAAAGUGCCAUGAGAAAUAAAACAAUAGAUGAACAAUGGAAAAAAGAAACUAGAUGAAUUGGUUAUCAACAAAUCUCCAGGUCCUGACAAGCUUAGCCCAAGAAUACUGAAAAAAAGUAACACAUGAGCAUUACCAAUCUGUAUCAUCUUCAAAAAUAGUAUAGACACAGGUGCUCUGACUGAUGAAUGGAAAACAGCAAACAUUACUGCUAUUUAUAAAAAGGGAGACAAAAAAGAUGCCGGUAACUAUAGGCCCAGUUAGCUUAACAUGCAUUCUGUGUAAACUGCUCGAAAAGAUAGUGAGGGAGAAAAUGAUAAAACAAAUGAAGAAUAACAAUCUAUUUAGUGAACAACCUAUCAUAUGAAGAACGAUUAAAGAAACUGAAUAUACCAACGCUUAGUUACAGAAGAGUGAGAGGGGAUAUGAUAGAAGUUUAUAAACUACUGAAUGGAAAAUAUUAUUAUGAUGAAAAGGUAUUGUUAAAACUCAAUCAAGAAAGUGUAACUAGGGGAAACAAUUAUAAAUUAUACAAGACAAGACCUCGUUUGGACAUCAGAAAGUACCCAUUAAGCCAUUGAGUCGUUGACAUCUGGAACUCGUUACCAAACAGCGUCAUUACAGCUAGAUCAAUAAAGUCAUAGGAGGCAAGACUUGAUAAAUACUGGAAAAACCAAGAAAUUGUUUACAACUUUGAAUAAAAAAUCUCAACCGGAAGAGAUAAAGAAAAUGAAGAGCUUGAGUCAGAGACUGGGGGCCUUCUUCAAGAAUUCAUUUAAGAUAAUCUAAGGUUAGAGGCACAGUGUCUUCCUUCGGGGUCCUAGUGAGCUCCGCCCCGGUAAGGUGUGUUCCUGGAUCCAGAUGCGUCCCAUGGGCGCUGUAUCGGUGGUUGAGGCUGCAAGAGCCAAGCUGUAGGGCCGUUUCCGACUGGCGGUUUGGGGAAUCCAUGCGAGGUGCGUGUUGGGCCGUUUCCGAUUGGCGGUUUGGGGGAUCCCUGCGGGGUGCGUGUUGGGCCGUUUCCAACUGGCAGUUUGGGUGGUCCCUGCUAGGUGCGUGUUGGCGAGGAUUCCUCCUCCGGGAAGGCGAUUGCGAUUGUUGCUUUCGCGGAGUCCUGCGCUCAAGCACAAGGGAAGCAUCGCGCUGGCUACGCUCCUGCGAUACAGCCUUGUUCGAGUCGUUGGAAUGGGCACGAGGAGCCUGUGACAUGGCUGGCUGUGUAUGGGAUCUGUUUACAUUUCUAGCUGGAGCAAACUGUGUGUUUGUGAAAAAAUGGUUGUGCUUUGUAACACGGCUGCUUUGCAUGAUCGUAUCCCAGUUUGGAAAGGCAUCAGCGACAACGCGACCAUCAUGAAUGAUUUUGGCUGGAUAUAUUAUGCUGGCCUUGCUUUUGGGAUAUUUUUGGCGUAGGCGCUUGAACUGUGGCCAUAAUUGCUUGCGGGCAUCAACAAUCUCGCGUGGAUAAUCUCUAUUUAUGUGAAAAAGUGUUUCAUGGAGCUUGUUAGCAUUCGAGAGGAUGUGCUCAGUGUCACGGAAUCCAGACAGUAUAUAAUGAUGGGUCUUGUGGAGCCGUGCCGGAAUUUCCCCAGCCUGUGUAUUCGGGGGUUAGGAGGACAGGGGUCGAUCUCAAGCUUCUCUCUCAAGAAAGUUGAUAUUUUAUGGAGACAAUUUUCAUCCCUGUCCUCUGGGAUGCCACUUAUUAAAAGGUUAUUUCUGCGACACCUAGCUUCUAGAUCUAUUGACUUGUACUCUGCCGAUCAUGGUCAGACAGUGUUGUUUCCAUAGUGUUUACUUUAUUUUGUUAGUUUAGACGGUCAACUUUAUGAGAUAUGCCUUUCAUUUCCUGGAACAGCAUAGACAGCUUAGCAUCAAGUGAGAGACUCUCGUAGUCCGACAAUGUUUGGGACCGUUCGUACUCACUGUUACUGCUGCCCGUGUUUACCCGAGGCCGCUUUUUCUCUCUUGUAGUCGUUGACCAAGGUCCGCCAUUUUGGCUGAAAGUCUCAUUUUCCAACACAUUAAAAUCGUUUCUGGUGAGAAAUUGUGAUCGGGCGUCCGAGUUUUGAUGUUCCAUGUUUGUGAAAUGCUUGAACUUACACUUGUACACAUUAACAUACCAUUAUUCAAUGUUUAUAACAUUCUUUUCGUUGUUUUUGCUAUUUUAUUUACUCUGCUAGAAAAAACCGCGGUUAUCCGCGCACUCGACCGGAAGUACAGUUAAAUGUUAAA
Molecule: RNA transcript, 2916 nt
Organism: Dreissena polymorpha
Lineage: Eukaryota; Metazoa; Mollusca; Bivalvia; Myida; Dreissenidae
Exons: 4
Source: RefSeq, a predicted model, not a curated record